Molecule: long non-coding RNA, 329 nt
Filed under: Phoenix dactylifera (date palm)
Lineage: Eukaryota; Viridiplantae; Streptophyta; Magnoliopsida; Arecales; Arecaceae
Description: long non-coding RNA (PDAC_LNC013010)
Source: RNAcentral
UACGAGUGAUAUUGAAGCCUUUGAUGAUGCCAUGAGACAAGAAAGAUGUGGAGAGAAUGGAGAAUGAUCCGAGGGAACAGUCAUCUGGGGGAUGCCGUCGUUACAGCCAAGAACGACAAAGGUUAGUCGCUGCUCAUGUUUUGUGAAUUCGAGCACUAUGCAGCAGUAGUUGCAGUUUUAUUUUAUUAUGUACCUACUAUAAGCUGUACUUGAGCAGUAGUAGGAUGGAGCAAUUUCUGGGAUGUUCUGGGCUCCACGGAGGGAAAGAAGCAUGAGUAUCUUUUUCAAGCUUUAGUGAUUCAUGCAACUUGUGAAAGGUGCUCCCGACG